Molecule: long non-coding RNA, 3173 nt
Filed under: Sus scrofa (pig)
Lineage: Eukaryota; Metazoa; Chordata; Mammalia; Artiodactyla; Suidae
Description: lncRNA (ENSSSCG00000056473.1)
Source: RNAcentral
UUUUUUUUUUCAAAGUUUUAUUAAUUUUAACUAUAUAAAGUAGAGUUAGGCUCCUGUUUAAAAAAAAAAAAAGUUUUUUUAAAAUGCACCUUUAAUGUUUAGGAAGAAUUUCUUUUUGGUCCAAAGCUGUUUUUAGACAAGGUGAUAUAAAAUCUUUGACUUAUUUCAUAUAUGUUGCAAUAUUUUUAUUGAUAUUAAAUUAAUAAAAACUUCCCCCGAAGAGGUGAGAAAGAUUAACUGAAAUUUUUGAUUUAUUUUCUGAAUUUACUCAACAUCACUUCUGCAGCUUAGAACAAUUUUUUGACAUACAAAAAUUUUUCCCCAGGACUAUUCAGCUAUAAGGAACCUUGAAAAUUCUUAAACCAACCUUUAUAUUUUUGAAAAGAAAAUUAACGUUCUAGGAAUUAAAUGGUGAAACAUGCCUAUAUAUCUACUUAAAUGUCACGUCAGGUUUAGAGAAAAGAAUCCUAAUUCCUGUUUCAGUCUUCAUUUAAAGUGAAAAAUAAAGGUAAAAGCAAUGUCCAGAGAUCUUGAGUAUCUGAAGAACAUCAUUUAAAGCUGGGAACAGGAGUGGGUAAAUAGUUGUCCACAUGGAACUCACACAUUCCCAGGCACAAGGCAGAAAAACCAAUGUCAAGAGUGAAGACUGUCAACAACUAGUUUUCUGCAUACUGACUCCUCUAGCUCCUCUAGCUCCAAAAUUCCCACCUAGAGAGCCUCAAUCAAAUCUUUGCCCUCUGCUCCUCUUUCUCACUUUCCUGAGGACUUUAUUCUGUCAAGUGACAUUUGUUCACCAGCUUGCAAAUGAUUCAAAGAUGUCACUCCCAGCCUAACACACACAGGCUACCUACCUUACUUAAGCUGCUUAAAAUAACUUCACCUGAAUCUCCAGUAUCCCUUUAGAGUCAACAAAACCAAAACCAUAUUCUCCCUCAAAACUGACCGCCUAUUUUCAAUUUUCCCAUUCCUAUUGUUACAGUUAUUAUUCUCCAGAAUUCUCACUCCCAAAUUUUAAGUCCUCUUCAACUCCUCCCAGAUCUGGUCACUCUCCAUAUCCUAUGAAUAUUAGUCAGAGUGCUCCAAAAAAACAAAGCUAUAUUAAAAGAAAUUAGCUCUCACAAUAUGUGGGCUAUCCCAAUUCGUAUGGGAAGGCCAGCAGGCUGCUGUAGAACUGGUAAGAACCAGUAUUCCAAUGUGAGGGCUGUCUGGCAGACUGCUCUCUUAUUCAAGGAAGGUGAGAGUGUUCUUCUACUCAGGACCUCAACGAAUUGGAUGAGGCCCACUCACAUUACAGUCUACAAGUUCAAAUUUUAAUCUCCAAAAGCACCAUCAGAAAAACACCCAGGAUAAUGUUUAACCAAGUAUCUUGGCACCCAGUGGCAUAGUCAAAUUGACACAAAAAAAUUAACCAUUAUACUAUGGUUUUACUAUUCAAAAAUUUCACACCCUUUUCUCUACUUUCAUUCUCACUACCAUUAUCUUAGUUCAGAUCCUUAUGAUCUCCUACUAGUUUUGAGCAGAAGGAUGUAAACCAGCCCCUUCCCAUUCUUUAGUUCACAUAUCACUGAAUAGGAGGUAGAUACACUUAUUUUCAGAAACAUUUCUACCACAUCAUUCUUAUUCUGUUCCUUAAUUCACAAUGGCAUCUUACUCUAAAUAGAUCCAAUUCUUUUCUUAUACUGUUGUACAUAAUCCAGACCUACCUGGCCUACUGACCUGUUUCUGCUGUCACUCUCCUAGAUCAGAACUCACAAUAUAAGCGACCAAUAGCUAAAGUAUGUUCAUUGCUCAUUAAUGCCCUUUUUCUACUCAAAGAAACACCCUUUCUCUACUCAACGUCCUUUCUCUACUUUCCUCUGGAAAGCACUGUGCAUUCUUCUCUGCCUAUUCCUAUCUACCUGCUGAGAUGUGUCUCCGGCUUCAACUCCUUUUGGAAGUUUUCCUAAUUCUAUAAAUGCUAUAAAUCUUUUAAUUUUCUAAACCUCAUAUGUAUUUAAGCUAAACAAAACCAUUCUUAUUCUAAACUACUCUGUUUUGUACUCUAAUUUAUUUCUUUUGUACAUUCAUCUUUCCCUAGUCCCCAGUCUCACCCUAUUACCUCCAAAUACAUACCCUCUAUUUAUCUUGGGCUGAAAAUCUGUGAUCUGAAUCUGUGAUGUGUUAAUAAGCAAUGGAUAUGCAAAGAAGUACUAUUCUCAAGAACCUUAGAAUUUGAUGAGAAAUACAUUACUAUACAAAUCAUUAUGGAGCAAUGUAGUACAUGCUCUAAGAAAGGUACAAAGCUCUAAGAGGAUACAGGGAGUAUAACAGAGGGAGAAUCUAAAUAGUGGAAUAAUGUGGUAUCGGAUAAAUUUAAUAGGAGGAGAGGAAAAGGCAUUUCAGUACUGAGAAUAAUCAGUGCAAAGGAAUAAAGGCAAUGAAGAAAAAAAAGGUAAAGAGACAUUUACCAAAAUGGUACCUGUACUAGGCAUAAAGGACCAGAACCCAGGCACAGAAUGGCUGAAAAACAAGAGAUUAAAUUCAGCAGCAGAAUAACUGAGUAAUAGAUAGAGCCCCAGAGCAAAAACGUCUGUAAUAUUGAGAAUGCUAAGUCCACAACUUGGGUUGGGCCAAGGAGAAACAGGCAUGAUUGGAGGAUGGAGCCAAGUCAUUUCUAACCAAGGGAGUUGGAAGUCCCUGAAGUAUAGGUGAAAUUAUGUUUGCUCCUUAUCCAGAAUCCUAAAGAACAAAGACUCUCCAAAACUCAUUGGGCAUUAAAUCUAAACUCAUCUGGCAACAAAAACUGGCCUAAACACACAUGAAGCUACCAGUAGUUCCCUGUGGUGCAGUGGGUUAAGGAUCCAGCAUUGUCAGUGCAGCAGCUCAGGUCGCUGCUGCGGCUUGGGUUUGAUGCCUGGCCUAGGAACUUCUACAUGCUGCAGGCACAGCGAAAGCAAAACAAAGAAAACCAGACAUGGAGUUCCCAUCGUGGCUCAGUGGUUAACGUAUCUGACUAGGAACCAUGAGGCUGAGGCUUUGAUCCCUGGCCUUGCUCAGUGGUUUAAGAAUACAGCAUUGUCGUGAGCUGUGGUGUAGGUCGCAGAUGCGGCUCGGAUCCCGUGUUGCUGUGGCUCUGGCGUAGGCCGGUGGCUAUAGCUACUAUUAGACUCCUAGCCUGGGAACCUCCAUAUGCC